UAUUUCUAAUAAUUUAUAAUAAGAUCUACUAGCCAUUAAUAAUAAGCAAAUAAAGUAAUAAACCAUUUUUAAUUCAAUAAUAAAGCUAAAAGCUAAUAAGAGUAAUGAAAUUAGCAUAAUAGCAUCUCAAGUCUUAACACACUUUCACACAUUCACAAUAAACAAAAUCACAAAUUUAGACUUGUAAAAAAAAAAGGAAAACAGCAUAUGGCACAGGGUAA
RNAcentral lists this unclassified non-coding RNA (221 nucleotides) under Hevea brasiliensis (rubber tree). The record is from RNAcentral. Lineage: Eukaryota; Viridiplantae; Streptophyta; Magnoliopsida; Malpighiales; Euphorbiaceae.